GAUGAAGAACGUAGCGAAAUGCGAUAAGUAAUGUGAAUUGCAGAAUUCAGUGAAUCAUCGAAUCUUUGAACGCACAUUGCGCCCAUUAGCAUUCUAGUGGGCAUGCCUGUUCGAGCGUCAUUUCAACCCUUAAGCCCUGUUGCUUAGCGUUGGGAGCCUACAGUACUGUAGCUCCCCAAAGUUAGUGGCGGAGUCGGUUUCACCCUCUAGACGUAGUAAUUUUUUCUCGUCUGUAGUUGAGCCGGUCCCCUGCCGUAAAACACCCAAUUUAUCAAGGUUGACCUCGGAUCAGGUAGGAAUACCCGCUGAACUUAAGCAUAUCAAUAAGCGGAGGA
Molecule: unclassified non-coding RNA, 335 nt
Filed under: soil metagenome
Description: partial contains 5.8S ribosomal RNA, internal transcribed spacer 2, and large subunit ribosomal RNA
Rfam family: 5.8S ribosomal RNA (bases 1-120)
Source: RNAcentral